Papaver somniferum (opium poppy) is the source of this 1661-nucleotide long non-coding RNA. RefSeq lists it as uncharacterized. NCBI's taxonomy places the organism in Eukaryota, Viridiplantae, Streptophyta, Magnoliopsida, Ranunculales, Papaveraceae. The record is from RefSeq and is a predicted model, not a curated record. The transcript has 2 exons.
UUUCUUUCUUCUUCUGCUCCUCUCUGUUCUUCCUCUUUCCUCUCUGAUAAUCUUAAUUCAAGGAUUGAGUUUGAUUUUAGUCGAGUGGAUCUUAGUUAGCGUAGUAUGUGGAUGAUUUGAGAGUAAGGAUGGAAGUAUUGCAAGUUUGUUUAGCGCUGAAAGAUGAACUGAAUUAAGGUUAUAUGGUCGAUUGAAGUUCCGAAGAUUUAGAAGAUAAUUUAUGAAGCUAUUGUUGACGAAGAAUCAUGGGUAGUUGUUUAAUUGAAGUUCCUAAGUUGAUUCAGUGAGGGAUUGGUGAAUUAGGGUUUGUGAUAAUUUCUAAAGAGAUUAGGAAGAUGAAAUUGAAGAACGGGUUUUGAAGAUGAUGAGGUGAAUAAGAAGAUAAUGAGGUUAAUUUGAAGAUUUGUUUGCAGAGAAGACCGAUUUGGAGAUUUGCAGAACUAGAGUUUUGUUCUAUGGUUUUCUCUUAAGUUAAUUUAAGGAAGAUGGAGUUCAUAUCAUAAUUAAGGGGUAUCAAUCGAAUUAGAGGAAUUGUUGUAAGAAAACUUAACUGGUUGAGCUGGUGAUUUAAUUUAAGAAGGAGAUGUAGAUGAAUUGAGAAAUUACAGAUGCAGAAAAUGAACUAUGGUGGUGGUUUGAGAUGGUUUAUGGAAUUGAGACAAGUAAAGAAGAAUUCAGCCUCAAAUGCUUGAUUGAAUCCAUUCUGAGGUAAUUGUUUUGCUUAAUUGAUUUGGAAGAGUUAUUCCUGUUUAUUAUUGAGAUUAUGUGAAUGCUUAUGAAGUAAAGAAUUAUGUUGAUAUAAAAUGGAGUUGUGUUGAUUAGAUUUAGAUUUAUUUUGAUCUACAUGGGUUAGUAUAUGUUGAAGAGGAAAAUUAGAGUUGUCCUGGUUAUGUAGACUGAGAUGAAUUGAUGCAGUUUUAGUUUAGAUGAAUGUGUAUGUUUCUUCAAGGUGGAAUGAGAAGUUAAGGUUUAAAGUUAAUCUGCACAGGGUGUAUUGACCGAGCAGAUUACGGGUGAGAUGAAGAUGUGUUUGGAUGUGGAACCAUUAUAAGUGGUGGUAGUGAUGUUGCUUAACUGGUUGUUGGGGUUAAGAUACAGGUUGAGCUUAAUUGAGUUGGUGGGUUGAGUAUGGUCUGGUGCAGGUGGAUGGAAUAGAGAAAUGGUAAUGGUAGUAAGUUAGUGUAGUACUGUUGGACUGGAUUGUGUAUGAAUGAACUGUUGGGUUCAUUGUAAAGAGUUGGAACUAGAUAUGGUGUUCUUUAUGAUGAAUGAUUAACUGCAAGUGGCCGGAUGAAGUAGAUUUGCAGUUGCAGAUAAAUGUAAUGAGUUACAAGUAGUGGUGGUGUUGAAUUUUAGUUAUAGUUGAUCUGAAACUGGUGAUGAUUCAGUUUAGUGGAAUGUGGUGCUAAAAGCUGCAAUUGCAGUUUCAGAGACAGAUCAGAGUUGCGUAGCGGAAGCUUCGAAGAGUUGAUUUCAUUAGUUGGAUAACUUUUACUAUGUUUAUUAUAUUGCAUAUUGUAUCUGUAAACCUAAUGACUAUUGUAUAUGUAUCAUUUGAGAGGACUUCUUGUAUAUAUAUGUUUCAGAGCGGGUUAGUUUUGGGUUAAGUUUUGUAGCACAUUUCUUAGUUGAAUGAUUAUGUAUAUGAUUUAGAUUUCUAA